GUGACAUAUUCGCCGUAGCGCUUCCCUCUGACCGGGAGCUCCGCUAAAACACGGACUGUCAAUAUAUUCUGAGGUGCUUGCUCCUGUCAGCCGUUUCCCUCUCUGAUUGCUUAUUAUGUGGUUGGCUCUGGGGAUACAAAGAAUCGGGGAAGGUGGAAGCCUAGGAUUCUGUGUCUUUAUCGUGCACCCCAGAGGAUUCGGAUUCACCUGAAAAGCUGUGAGGUCCAUAGGCCAAGAGCUCCGAGGUCAAGGAACAGGUUUCUGGAGUCAGAGGGAUGAUGGCGGUUCCUCCGUGUGAAGAAGACCAGGGUGUGCAAAUAGACUGCUACUGUGGAGAGGUGAGGAAACUGAAGCCCAGGAGAGGUCAAGUAUUUUGCCUGAGGUCACGGAGACUGUAAAUGGUGGAAUUCGGGUACAGACAGAGGUACUCUGGCUCUUCAUCACUAAAUGAUUGUACUAUCCUG
Long non-coding RNA from Bubalus bubalis (water buffalo), 464 nucleotides. RefSeq lists it as uncharacterized. The transcript is spliced from 3 exons. The record is from RefSeq and is a predicted model, not a curated record. Lineage: Eukaryota; Metazoa; Chordata; Mammalia; Artiodactyla; Bovidae.